Long non-coding RNA from Gasterosteus aculeatus aculeatus (three-spined stickleback), 20725 nucleotides. NCBI's taxonomy places the organism in Eukaryota, Metazoa, Chordata, Actinopteri, Perciformes, Gasterosteidae. The record is from Ensembl.
AUCUUUUCAUGUAAUUUUCGAAAAUACAUGGAUAAAACCAAAUUCGGUGUAAUAGAGUUACCCCACAGUGCCAUACGUGCAAAAAUAUGCACAGUUUAUACAGAGUACUUAUUUUUUCUGCUGUGGUGGGAUCAGUGGCCGCAAACCAUUCUUUUUGCCCUUUUGUCUUUUUCCACCGGCCAGCUGAAUGUUUGUGCAUCAGUGAAUCUGUCUUUUUCAACAAGUGCAUGACCCUGACUUUCAAAUCUAUUUGAAGGCUCAUGGCAGAGCUAAUGCUAACCGCUAUACUCACUGCUGCAAUGCCGAAUGAGAAGAAACGAGACAAUAAAUAAUAAAUGGUGCUCUUUAAGCUGUGUUCUUAACAUCAAAAAGUAAUGCCUCUCUCUAAUAUGCAUCUAACAUCCCAUAUUUAGUCCCCAGUGGAAUCUAAUGAAUAACAGAGCUAUUCCAAUUAGGUGCAGGAAGUUACUGUUAAUUACAUUCCUAAGUUCUAUUAUGUAGUUAGCAUGCAUUAAUCACUAUGUUAUUUUUUCAAAUGCUAUUUGUGGUUAAAGCCGAGUCAAAGUGUAUUUGAGGUGGAUUACGGCUCAACUGCUGGAUUUAAAGUUCUCAGAAAAACUGCAAUGGACUGUAAUGCGUUGGGCUGGUUACCAGACAAGAACAAACACAUUGUUAGAGCAACAUCAUUCAAUAAUACGCAUUCAGAUUCAUAUUGUUAGAGUUCAAAUACGGAAUUAUAAAAGCAAAGACCAGACGAGGCAAAGUCUAUUAUUAUACAGCUGCUCCAGAUCCAAACCCCUUUCACCCAACUGACAAAAGGUUUUGUGACCACGUAGGCAUGGUUACUAAAACGGAAAUGUUGACGUUAGAUGAAUAGUGGAGGGAUCUGCCAAGUUAUUGCAAUUCUUACUGUUUGGAAAAUUAAACUUUUGUUAUACGACAUUUAAUGGUUGUCAAAACAUUUCACUGAAAACAAAAAAAUAUUUAGUCAGCCUUGUGGUGUUGCUAGGAAAAAUGAGAGGAUCACCAAAGUCAUCGGGAUGAGCAGCAACUAAUGUCUGUACACAAUAUUUGGGCAAUGCGUCUUGUGGAUGCAGGGAACUUCCAACAUGGGAAAGGUUUCACCUAAAGGGACGGAUUAAAAAUGGGAGAAUCCCCAUAAUCAGUAGAAAAUUUAUCCUCUGGGAGCCCUGAAUGUUGGACCCGAUACGGUGGUCGGACAGACGGAGUGACGGACUGAGGUUUCCAUCCACCGAGCGAUGCUGCCGACGAGGAAAGACGGUAAUCUUAACAACGGAGCGAACAUUGACCACACUGAGGAGAAAAGCAUGUGGACGAGGGCUAAACAGAGACAAUCAUUGUUGUUCAUGAGGUCAAAGAGAGAGUGUAUAAAGACACACUUCCUUCUAAUCAAAUCCAGUGCAACAGUGUCCAGUUUCCUCCCCUGCGCUCUGUGUACUCCGCAAGGAGGAAAUGCACAACUAAACAGGAAAUGUCAGAUUAGAAAACCCGGACGUGAAAGUUAGAUUAUUUAAAUCACAAAGGAAAAUACUGUUGAAAAACAGAUAUUCGGACUCUUUCGUCCUGCACCACCAAGUUCCGCUUGGGUUCAGAUUUUUGUGUUUUUGAGAAGGCCACCUUGUUCACCCAUCCAUCAACAGUCAUCGGACCUCUGAAAGAGCUUCUAAUGGUCUGGCUGUGCAGUUAAACUCAGAAAUCAGCACGUAGAAGAAACAAACAAACACAAUACAAUUGCCAAAACAAUAGAGCUUGUCAACAUUUGGACCAUUUCUGCCCCCGCGGCCCCAAUAAGUAGACAAAAGCAUUAACGAGAGGAAGAGCUGGUUUGGGAGCAGGAGGUGGUGAAGGAAGUGGAGGACUGUAUCAGCGUAACCAUCUCUUCUGACCCCGAUCAGUUAUUCAAGAACCACGACAACCUAUUGGCAUCCAUUAAUCCUGAAUUGGCUCACAAUCAAUGAGCUCUUCAAUAGCUCCUUAUUCAUUCAUUCAUCGAUACCUAAAGACUACUCCUCACCCCCACGUGUCCCACCUGCCACAUGCUUGUCCCCGCUUCCCAAGUGCUACCGCUUUAUUUCAUGUCCAGUAACGGUCAGUUGGUUUGUCCACACAGAGAACAAAAGAUACCAACAAAUAUUGGAUGUUAUAUCGACAUGAGAUUUGUUACAGAUGCUCAUUGUUCUCAGAGGAUGAGUCCUAACAACGUUUGUUGAUCCUGACUGAAAUCGCGUCACUUAAUUCCACCAAUACUUUGGUUUAUGAUCAAAUCUCACCAGCCGAAGCUUUAUUUAACACUAGCAUGUUAACACACUGUGGAAGGAUGCUUGUAAUGGUCACGUUAGCAUUGUACAGUCUCACAGAGUAGAUUCAAUGGAUGGACAGCGGACGCCGGCACGUGACACUGACACUCGGUGAUCUCGUGCGCGUGUGAAUGGGCGUGUCAAUGCGCACAAAGUAAAUCAAUUAAGCAGAGGGAAUCUCCAGGGAGAGAGCGAGAGGUGCCGCUUCCUGUCUUCAAUUCCCCAAAGGCCCCUAAAAUACACACGUAAUUUAAAAUGUAAUGUGUGUUUCCACCACAAAGCCGUUUGCAAACCCAUAAAACUGCCUCCAACAGCAAGAAAUUCACUGUGAUUAAAUUCCCACCGCUUAUUCUUCAGCGUCAAACCAAUGUUGUUUAAUCAACUCCAUCUUUAAUCAAAUGAGGUUAUGAUGAACCAUAACGUCUAAUCCGGUCUCAUGGUACCUCAGGUGUUUUAGUCACAUAGACAAAAAAAAACCACACUCUAAGACUUGGAAAGGCUAAAGAAAGAAGGCACAACAAAACCACCAUUCCAGGUUGGAUUCACGGGUUGUUUAUUUACAUCACCGAUUACAGUAAACAAAGAAAAAUAUUUCCGUGAUGGUUUACACUGAAAACCGCUGCCGUGUCGUGUAGAGGUUGACAAGCCAAACCCCAGCACUCAAAGGUUGAACUGUCCCCCCGGGGGGGCGUGGGGGGGACCGGGGGUUACGCCGGGUGAUGGGGGGGGGGGUGUGCAUGUGGUGUGAUCGGGGUGGGGCGAGCGUCUGGGGCACGUUUAGCCUCUGCGAGGGAAAAGACCCAAACCUUUGCCUCUGAAAGGAAGGUCCACGGGGACAGACACAGACCAUUUUAUUAGAAAUUCAUGAAUGAAUUUAAGCUCCCGCGUUUGACCUAUGAGCGCUCGAUGAACACGGAGCAAAUGCAACAAAUAGGUGCGCCGUUUAAAGCAAGAGAUGCUGAUUGGAUCUCGCUAUUUACUCACAACAAUUGUGCUUUACGAAAGACAUCCCGCAGCAGUCCACCCUUAACCCUGUCUUCCUCACACCGCCCAUAGAUAAGGGCAGUGAGAGAGAAAGCAGCGUUUUAAUUGACACCCUUUAAGUUAUCCACAAGAUAAUUACGGCGAACAGACGGUGCAAAACGCAACAAUGGGAUUUUAUUUUUAUUCCGCUGGAGGUUUUGUCAGCGAGUUGCGAGCCACACGAAUGACACGCAAGCGAGGUAGACACACACAAAUAUGUACAUGUUAAUACACAGUGGAAAUUCAUACACACAAGCAGGUAUUGACACACAAAGGUCUCACGCCGCCUCGAAAUAAGCGGGAAAAGACGCCACAGCAGAGGACUUUUGUUAUCUCGUAGCAUCGAGGGGUCGCGGCUCUUUAAAGUCCAAACUGCCUCAAAGCAACGGUGCGUCCCACUGAGCUUAAGAGUAUGCGCUCCCUAUUUUAGUCCUAAUGCGAGAAUUAAUUAUGAAUUAAUUAACAUUACACUUAGGAGCAGCUUCGUCUAAAUCUCUUUCUUUCUGUGUAGUCAGGAAUAAUAGGAGCCAGAGCUAUUAAGACAAAGAGGAGGGAACCGAGAUAUGGAUGCAUCGUACGUGUGAGACUAUCUCCGGGGUAUGAAUUAGAGAAUGUGUGUAGAGUUUGUUUCUCCCGGCGAGCUAUUAAAUAUUUCAUGGAGGGGGAUAAAUACUAGGAGAAUGCUGCCCCCUCCCAACCUGAUCCACACUGCAAUUAGAGGCCCAUUAUCCCUCUCUCAACUCUCCCAGUCUGUACAAACUCGGCCUCAAAAGCAGCAAUAAAGGGCCCUGUGAUGAGGUAUGAUAACAGUAAUGACGAACAGAACACUUGUCUUUAGGAUUUAUAAUGAAACUACACAGUCUUACUAACCUGUGUAUUUUUUAUAGGUCAUUUCGCUAAAUAUCCCAGCCAGAGGAAACCCUCCAGCGUCACACCGUUGGGUUUCAUUCAUUUCAUUUCAUUUGACAUAGCAUGCUUCUGUGCUCUGGCAAUAAGGACACAGCAUUGCAGCAUAUUGGCAAGCUCAUUUGCUUUUCAUAGUGAGCGUUGUGUCCAAAAAAAAAAAAAAGUGCCCCCUGGGAAAAACACGUGUACGGGGGACUGCGGGCUCGCCGCCCCAGCAGCAGGUGGCCCAUUGCUGCCUAAUGAACACCGCAAUCUGUUACUAUCGCAGCGGUGCUUUUCACCAGACAAUUAGGCGACUAAGCAUGUCAUUAUUCCAGGCCAACAAGAAGAGCCUCUUCUCUAAUUUCAUCUUUUCAUUCCUGUUUACUCACCCACACUCCCCUCAUUAACGAGAGAUUUUCCAGUCCAUGCUAAUUGGUUUCAAUAACAUUCAUUUUAGUUGAAAGGAAACGAUUCUGUUAAUUGAGGAGCGCAGAGAGAGAGGAGAGAGGGAGCGAGGGAGGGAGGGAGGUAGGGGGAGAGGGGCUGCUUUUCAUUUUCAAGUGCGUCCAUGAGAUGACGCUUUUGAAAAAGCGCUCUACAGGUUCAGAGCUAAUGAAAUUAAGUGAUGCCGGCCGUGGUAAAAAGGAAAGCCCAAAUUAAAAGCAAUUUAUUUUCAUUGAGGCAUGUGGCAGUGAUCGGGCACAAUUAAUGGGCUGAGCAUAGACACGGAGAUAUGGGGAGAGAGAACAAAAAAAGACAAAGAUACAAAGAAAUGACUGGUGGCACAGAUGAGCAAAGAGUCUAGACCUGGACAGAUUUACUGUAAUGAUUUCUAUUGUUGUAUCUCUAUUUCUUUGUUUUAUAUUUUGCUACGUUUGAAUAGAAAAAUUAAGGCACUGGCGGCUCUAAUAUUUAAAAUAAUCUCAUACAAUUUGUAUGUGUGUCUAAAGGCUGGCUCUGAAUGAUGCUAUGGCUUGAUUUCAGUGCAUCAAUCAGGACUAAUUCCCUGUUACAAAAAUGUGGUUUUCCUGCAAAGAUCAACAAAUGUCAAAAUGUUGAUUCAGAAAUGUUCCUGUAAGCUUUUGCCCUUUUACUCAAUGAUACAACGUCAGCAUUUUAAACAAUUAUAGAAAUAAAAGUAUCAUUGUUUGCACGUGAAACAUGGCUUUCUUUAAUUGAGAAAAGGUUCAUAUCUUAAGGUUAAUUUAAUGUAACCUGUCCUGAGCUUUUAUUCCCAUCAUAGGAUCUUCAUCAAUAGAUAGUCAUACGAUCACAGAUCUUCUCUUUCUUGAGAAAUUAAAGAAUUUAUUGAUGACACCAAUUAAGUCUUCAUUUAUUAUUUUCUUUUCUUUUUCUGAACAUCUAAAACUCAAUGAAAACUGGACAAUGAUCAGCUGAUGAGGAUCAUGUGAUUGUGAUCGAAAGCUUGUAGAGAUCUUGAAUGGACUUGGACGACGGUUGGAUUGUUUUCACAACUAUUUGCCGUCUCCAGUGUCAAGAUGGAACUUCAUGACUCUCUUUUGAAAACUAUAGAAUGAUAACCAUUAUUCAUUUAUUAUCUGACAUCCUAUACGCAAGUUAUGGAAUUCUUCAUGAUUUUUGCCAUUCAGGUUUAAGUGCACAUCUCACAGCAAAACGUGUAAUAGCUAUGUUGUGGAACGUGUCACGAUUUCUCCACAAAAUUGUAGCUACGUCACUAGAGACUAAUAAACGGAAGGUCUUCUACAUUCUCUGAUAGAAGAUUAUGAAAAUAUAACGCAUACUUCUCGCUAGAAAUGCCAUCAAAAUGCAUACAAAUGCUGAUGCUUUCUUAAAAUAAUGUGUUUUUCACAGAUAAUAGACCGACAGAUAGUCACGUGACCUAGUUGCAAACAAAACGUUGUAUUCUCACGCUUUUGGGGAGAAAGCGUGAGAAUGCCACUUCCACAACGUAGCUAUUAUACGUUUUGCUGUGAGACUGGGUUGCCCAAACACAGACGGUUGCACACACAUAUUUGUUAUAAUGACAUAAUUUACAAUCAGAAACUAGCAUAUCAAUAUCUUUGCUAGCACAGUCUAACAUCAAGCAAUGCAUUUCUUCUAUUUCCAGACAGCGUCACCUGGUUCUCACAUCAAGUGUUGCAUCGUAACACCCGCGCGUGGGCCCUAACCCCCCCAACAGCCUUCAGAUACGGUCAGUCAGCUGCCUAAGCAGCCGUACAGCGGCUGCUUAGUGACGGCAGGGUGAGCGUGUCAAUGGCCUCCCUAAACAGCCUCGGCUGGGGGGGAGGGAGGGGAAGGCCGGUGGGAUGUUGUCGUCCCUUUUGCCACUCCACAGGCUGGAGGUGUGGCAGGUUGCAGCCUGUAAAGGCAUCUGGAGACCACAAGGAGACGAGACAGAAGGGUUGACUCAAGCAGCUGCAAUCAUUACUGAUCAAUUUGCUGUCACCAAUAAGGAAGAGAGGGGGGGGGCAAACAAAGGAAUUAUUCGCAGGCGACUGUGCUUUCUGUUUCCUAUCGAUUUAUCCGUCCCUGCCUGCGUUUCAGCCGACGAGGAACCAAACUAGUAUAAAGUAUGACUAAAUGCCCUGCUGCUCUCCGAGGAGCUGCGAGUGCGGAGCUAGCGGGGGAUCAGUGCAGUUAAUUUACAUAGCAUUUGCAUUAUGUCAGGACAUGAGCUACAAAUAGGUAUGAGUGUGUGGCUUAAUUAGAAAUGAGCCAGGCUUUUCAAAAACACUCUUUUGCAUCAUAAUUGAGUCAGCUCGGCGCCGGAGUAAACGGCGGUGAGUGGGGGAAAAGAUGCCUGUUUCAGAACACGCUCGGAGAUGAUUGGUAAUUAUGAUACACCAACCUGGGCUCAGAGCAAUUUGAAUUAUUUUUACACAAAACAUUAGUGUGUGCUUUGAACAACAGCGGAGGAAAGUGCCCUAUAAAAUCUGGGUCAAAAACAAUUAAAUAUAGGAUAAAUACUGAAUAUGAAUGACUUGUUUCCGGAGGGUGUUGCAACUUGAAGGUUGCCCGUGUUUCGGUAUGUGGGCGCCUACUGAUCAAGAAUGAGCAGACGUGUGUUCAUGACUGUUUUUAAACCAUAGAGGACCAUCGCUGACAUCAGAAGGUCUAAAGAACAACAGUAAACCCACAGUGGGAAAUCAGAUAAUAUAUACAGUAUGGUUGUUGUAGUAAUUGUAUCUACACCGUCGUUUCUGCAAACUAAUUAAAAUCAAGAGAUCUAUUAUGACUCAGACUAAGUUUAUGCAAGUAUUUACUUUUCUGUUGUGACGUCAUGCUGGUAAAAAGAAAAACCUAAAAAAAAAUCUGUAAAGAAUGAAAUACUGGAUCUUCUUUCUGUUCUAGUGUCAUGAAACUACACCAGAGGAUGCCAUUUAAUUUGUAUUGGCCAACGUUGUUCCCCAAACUCAGCUUUCUGUGAACCAAUUCACAGAAAGUGCGUGCGUCACCGUUUUGAAGCCAAUCUGUGGCCGAAGGGGUCGACAACAUCCACACCGAUCCAUCGCUACAAACAUUUAAUGGCCUCUCCAGCCUCUCAUUGUCAUACCGUUUGCUCAUGUGUUGAAGACACGUUAUAUCCUUCCUGUAUUUGUGUGUUUGCCUCCACGCCUACAGACUGUCUGCAGAGCCGGCUCUAAUUGCGUGACAUCUUGUUUUGUAUGCGUUUGUACCGACGUGGUAUUUGAACUCGCUAAGUGAUGCGACAAAACGUGUUGGGGAGGCGGAGUGUUCAGAGUACCUGGGGUUACCAAGGUUACCAAAUUGAAUCGUCCCUUCAGACAGGGCUGAUCUACAUAAUUUGGUGGUAUCAUUCAAAGUGUUUUCACGGCCCGAAUGAUGAAUGGCACCCGCAGAAGAUAAUAUUUCUGCUUGGAUGUAAUAAAUCUUCUGUAAAGUGCUCCACCGCUUAUAUACCAUUGGCGGAGAUGUGGUUGGGAAAGAAUUUCUUCCAUUAUUUUUUUCCAUCUUCACUGUCUUCUGACUCGCUGAUUGUCAUCAUUUGAAUCUCUAAGUAUUGAGUGACUUUCAGCAAUAUCAGUCAGCAAUCUCCAUGUUUACACUGCAAUCACAAGGAAAAGUUUCAAUGUAUUUCAAUGAAUUGAUAUCGCAGAGACGUUUUCCCUGCACUUCUCUUCCUGCUGCUCCUGUACCUGUUGUAUUGAUGGAAGCAUCAACCGGCCUCUUCACAGACAGCUUCAGUGUCCUGCUAUUACCAAACCAGCCCCUGGGUAGUGAACUUGUGACCCACCAUGAGGCUUUGUGCUGCUCAGCGAGGGGCCACGACCCCCACAAGGUGCUGGGAGGCCAGGGACAGUGCGGAGAGCUGUGCGUGUUAUUCAUAGCACCCACGAUGGUCAUGUUUUUUUUGCAUGUGUUUAUCAUGCAUUAAUACUGAUUAUAAAAAAUACAAUAAAAAGUAAGAUCCAGAUGAAGCCUGCGGCAAAAAUAAACAUAUAUGAAGGUUUCUUAUAGAUCUGGAUUCUAGAUUUGUUAGGUUGUGUAUAGAAGCACAGCCACAUAUGCAGAUUAAAGACAAACUGUGGUACUUUUUGUUUAUUUUUAUACAUAAAGUUAUUCUGAGAAAACGUUUAUAAAGAUUACCAAUCAGCAUUGUUUACUAAUUAAGUUUUUUUUCUUCUUUUUUUUGGUCCCUUUCCUCCUAUUAUGCCUGUUUUUAAUAAGCUGAUAGUCAGGUGCACUUGACAGUAAUGAAUGACUGAUUUUAGCUGAUCGUUAUUGCUGCCCUCCUCUCGCCCGCCACGCGCCGCCUGUGUGUGCGCACACCCGCGCGUGAGAGCGUGCGCGCCGUGGCCGCCUAAUAAAAGGGAUAAUUGUUCCAUCUUUGCUUGGAGACACAUAAAGCAGUGUGUAUUGACUGCUUGACAGGCUGUGAUUCCAGGAAAGCUAAUGGCUUCCUCAAUUCUCCUGCUCCAUCCAUCAGGCCCGAGAGCACCCCGUCAUGUUUUCAAUUAAUGAAGAGAAAACCAUAAAAAGUUAAAAGGCAGCGUGACACAUUGGAAGACAGCGUGUACACGCAGUCACACAAGGGCACGCACACACACACACAAUUUGUAAUCACCCAUAUGAAAUAUACAAACAAGCAGACACAGAUUUGCAGCUUGAAAAACUUGAGACUAGAAAGCCCUCUCAGCUCCUUUUACAGUGACACACGCAGACAGCCAAACAACUCUCUCUGUUGUCUGCUGCGGGUUUGAAGCUCGCCUGUGUCUCAACUUCCCACCCUCGGCCUUCUAAUCAUAAAGUAUAUGCAUUCCGACGGUGGGUCUGCAUAGUUUAGGUGCAGCUUUCUGGCUUUAUGUCGCAGAUGAAGGGAAACUUCCGAUCUGCCUAUGUGAGCGAUGGUAAAGCCCUCCAAUUCGGGCAGGAAAUUAUAGAGUAAGUGGCUUUGUGGCUGAUAGUCAAAUGAAGCCAGGGGCGGCUGGAUGCCGGCUCUAAUUAACCGGCUGGCAGGUUUCAGCGAUAUCAGGAAUCCUUCCUGCUAACCUGAUGACAAGACCAAGGUGUGCACAGAAAAAUGCAGGUGAAUGCACACAGACAAACAAAUGAUUAUCUGGAACUAUGCUUUGCAAAAUCAACCCCCGCGUGAAAUUCCUCACCAAAUUCAGCACAGAAAACUGCUUUGUUAAUUACUAAAUAAUCAGAAAACAUGAACUCACUAUUUUUGGUUUCAAAUGCACUCAGCUGAAGAAAUCAUUUUUCUAUAAACAACCCCCUUUCGCUGCCUAAUGACCGUUUAUGUCUGAAGAUACGCAAUCUAACAAUCAUCAGAGCCUUUACAGAAUUAAUUUCAAAUGAUUGACAGUCUGUUGUAUGCGUAUCAGUAAUCUCUGUAAUUCUCCAUUACCUUAUUGGACAGGAAAUAGGGAAAGAAAAUGGGGAAAAUACGGUUCGCAGUGCACAAUCAACCCAGAGAAAAACAAACUAAUUUAACAUGCAGAGAAUUCACUGAUGAUCAAUCAUACAUGAAAACUUAAGGGUGUUUUAAAGGACCUGCUGCAAUAUUGAAUCACUGAUCAAUUCAUUUGGGACUGCAGUUUCUACUGUUACAAUAAAGGGGAAAAUGAGACUUAGAGACGGUGUAUACAGGCUGCCUGUGAGAGAUUUAUGCCUCUUCUUAUGUUUGAUUUGUUAGUCUAAAUCACCAGUGAUGUGAAAGUAAGCAAAAAAAAAAAAAGAAAACGUCACAGUGACAAGAGUGCCGGCUGUGUUCAACAUGACUGCCAUGUUCGAGAAGUCUGCUGGCAGUGUUUACUCCACGUAGCCGUAUAAAACAUUCAUUUCCUCUGGUGGUUUCACCAACAUGAAUCAGGAGAAAUCCUUACAGAGGAGACCUGGAAGCACAUCAUGGCCUGAAAGGGGAUAUUUCUAGAUUUUACUUGCAUGUAUUGAAAUGAAUCUGCUCCUAGCAGUAGAUGCUGCGUAUUUCUCAUUUGGCAGCAAUUGGAGUUCACACAUAAUGCCCCACUGUGUUCUGACCAGCAAUAAAACUAAUAACAUGAACAUUUAACGCGGCGGAAAGAGAAGUUAACUUGGUGAGAACGACUUCAUAGAAAUCAGUUGAGCGCCUUGUGCUGCGCCCCGCACGCCUCUUCACUUUAACCAAACAGAGCUGAAGGUGAGAGAGUUACUGGAGGACAGAUGAAGACGGCGUAAUCAUGCGUGGGAGUGAGAAAUAACCAAAGCUUGUCAAUCACCAUCAGGCGCCCUUCUUCAUGCUUCCGUUUGACUUUCCUCAUUGUUCAGGAUGAGUUCCCGCUCGACAGCCUCUAGGCUUCUUUAUUUAUUUUUAUGUAGUUCUUUUUCACUGCAUGUUGAAAGUGACACAUAUUGCAUUCUGGCUCACUAACACACAUGCAUUUUCAUUGCAAUGUUUUGUUUUUCAGAGGGGAGAGAAAGGAGGGAUGGCAGCUGAGGAUAAAUGCAUUUUUCAUUAUUAUGGAUUCUCUCCACUUCUCCGCUGGCAGCGAGAGCAACCUCUGCUUAAACAUCUCGUUUCUGCCCCUCGGCGCUUCCUUGUGCUUGGACACCGGCCAAGCAGAAAGUAAUUUAAACAUUACAGGAAAUUAAAUCUCACAUUUCCAAUUUUUCCCCUAAAGUUUAAGUACAAUGAAAAUGUCAGCCAUGAAUUAUGGAAUCAAGCUGAAUUUCUCCUCCAAACUUUAAACUGCGAAUGUAACUGUCCUUGACAACAAGGUGGGCACUCGGAGGAUCCACCCCUCCCUCCCUCUGACGGGCUGCUGAAACCAAUCAGAAGGAGACAAAGCAGAAGACAGGAUAACACUGUGUUUCUGGGUUGUGUUUCUGUGGAAUGGAAUAAAAGAUCAGAUGAAAGUGAGAUGCAGUUAUCAUUACAUGUUUACAUCCAAUUUGUGUUUCUCUCCAGUGGUGGGACUCUGCAACUUACGGCUCAACGUAUGUAUUUUCAUGGCAAACUGUUGAAUCUCUCAUAAAGACAUCAUGUCUUUGUGAAAUGUAAUUCUCUAAGCACAGCAUUACUGCAAAGAUAAUACAUCCACUUGAUACGUCUCACACCGAGACCAAAUUAUAUUUACCGCUAAAUCACAUUUCUGAUGGCGCUGCGUUAUUAGAAAAUUGCAUGUUGUGCGUUUGAUUUAUGUCCCAGCAUAUCUAGAGAAGGAAAAAAACAAAACGAAAUCCCCCCCCUCCCACGCUUGCAGGUGAGAUGAGUUCCUGCAGAUUGCUGUUAGUGUCAUCCUCUGGGCUAAGUGUUGUAUAUUAAAGAGACAUGGCAGUGGAUUGUCACCCUGGCGCCCCACCACCUAGCAAUGGGCCAUCUUUAAUUAUGGUCCAACGGAGGUGAAUGCAUCAGAAAAGGCCUGGCAGAGCGACCAGUGUGUGGACUAUUUUAAUUUGCGCCCCGCCCCUAAGUGAGCGAUGCGGCCGGCCUUGACCCUCCUCUGACUGCAUGGAUUAAUGCCUGGUAAUGACUGCUGAGGCUAUCAUUGCGGCGGGCAUCAUUAAUUAUCCUUAUUGAUUGUUACGCUCAGAGAUAAAGCGUUCUGCUGACUGGAAAAUACCCUCCAUGCACAAGGUCACGGUAAAAAAAAAAGAAAAAAGGAGGAAUUGUGUUGAGGCCACCACACGUUAAACAGAAGAUAAAUAUGGCUGCCGCCCGCAGCGGGCCGUACCGUCAAUGUCCAUCUCUCUCCGUCCCGUCCUUCGCCCCUGUCCCACGUCUCCUGAGUCUGUCUCACUAUUUCCUUCCGUCCUGUCAUUUCCUCCCAACUAAGAGAUUCCAAAAAGAAACCAAAGCAGUCUGUGCGCAUGCGCGCAAAGACUAAUGAUAUGCUGGAAAAAAACUGGUGACAAGUGAGGGAGCGUGAGGGAAGGGGGAUGCUGAGCGAGGGAGAGGAAGCAGUUGGAGGAAAGAAGCGCAGGGGGGGUAAAGGGAGCCAGUCGUGAAGUGGGCUGGCAGGCAGCUGUAGUGCUCCGGCAGAUUAAGUUUCCAGGGCUGCUGCCAUAAUGGAGGAGACAGCAGGAAGUCAGGGUUUUAUAUUUACUCUACAACACCCGGUCCUCGUUUCUUUUCUUCAUCUUUGAACAGAACAAGGGCACCUGCCUCUUCCUGCUGUUGGUCUUUGUGCUAAGCUAGCUAAGUACCUUUGUUCCAGACAAGACUGUUGUAUAGUAGUUGUGGUGCAUUAACUGCCAUAGUUAAGGUUAGGCCCGUCCCUUUUACGUUCCAACUGGCUUCAUGCACUACACUACUUCCUGCACUGGCAUGUGUGUAUCAGUGUUUAUGUGUCUGUGUGAGUCUCCUCUUUCAAGCGAGUGUGACAGAAAUGUAUUCUGUCAAAUGCAGGUUGGAGAGGUUGCUGCAGCACCUUGUUCGUCCUCCCUCUUCCCCGAGCCUGUGAUUGGCAUGUCUUCAUAUGUGGAUCGUGUUCUUCCUGUGACUUGCUUCUUUGCAGGACUAGCCAAUGUCAAACAAUAACAAUAAAACAAUAAGUAAAAAUAAAUAACUCCCAAAGCGUGGGACAGGAAGAAGGAAGCAAUAUGAGGACGUACAUUACAUUUCUACAUUGCAGAAAGUCAUUUAUGAACCUUUGCGGCCCACAAAAGAACAUUCAGGCUUUCGUGCUCUUAAAAGUGAUUUAAAGGAUAUAUAGGCUGCUGAUUUUGGGGGUCCUGGUCCAUACAUGCACUUUGUCGGGGUUUCACAAGGCGAUGCAGACGCAGAAGGUGGAGGUAGGGCAGGAUGAAGGCACAGUCUCUCUAUUUUUGGUUAGUACCUGUUUGAAGUAUAUCAGAAGGAGCUUUUCAAGGCCUGGAAAUUCAUUACUGGACAGUAGCUUUGAAAGAGGUCCGUUGGAUGUAUAUGGGUUUCUGUUUUUGAGUGUGUGUGUGUGUGUGUGUGUGUGUGUGUGUGUGUGUGUGUGUGUGUGUCCCAUUGUAUUCAGAAUGGAAUUGCUAAGCAGUAGCCUGAGGCCAUGAGCAGCCAGCUAUGGUCAGGUAUGGCUAGCUAUUACUGCAGGGCAUCAGACUCUCUGGAGAAAAGAUCAUACACACCCAUAUAGUGUGUGUGUGAAUGCAUUUGUGCGACAAAGAAAGACAGAAGAAACACACAAUCUGUGGAGCUUUAUAGGAUAGGAAUCUUUUUUAACUCGGACUGUGAUCGGGUUCAGAGUUAAAACGAUGUUUUGAUCUGUAUCAGAUGAACUGUGCAUGUGUGCAUGUAUGCCAGCAUACAAACGAGAAGCUGAAGGAAAACAGGGGGAGAGUGAAAUCCGACUGCACUGUUUUACAACUAUUGGCAAAUCAAUACGCGACCACAACACUGACAGAAGAAGCCCGUCAGAGGCCAAAGGCUGGUGGUUCGGCUGCAAACACGUUCACGCAGCCAACUGUCGGGGUGUCGUCUUUCUUCCUCUCAUCCUGCUUUUUUUUUAUAACUGUGACCCAACAUUCAUAUACAGCUGUAGGUGUCCGUGGUUUUGAUCAGGCGAGGAGAUCCGUGGGAUAAACGGAAAGUCUCUCCUCCAGGACGGAGAUGAGUGAGACGGGCUCAACAACUCCUGGAGUUCCGGAGUCGCAUCAGACUUCCAUGCACGGAGAAGAAAGUCCCCAUCUCCGGUCAUAAUGCAUGCUAUGUACGCUUCUGAACGUGCAACGUAAUAUAACAUGACUGGUAUUUAUGCAAGAGCUAAGACGAGACAAUCAUCUCACACCAAUGUUUUUCAUAUUAACUUUUUCCUUUGUGCAGAUUUUAGAACCAAUUUUACCGAUUUAGAAUGUUUUGGACUCACAUGUAGGCGGAUGCGACGCAUUAUGCGGGCACACAUGUAUAGUAAACACACUAACACACAUGCAAAACAAUUUGGGAGGUUGGAGGGUGGGUGGGGGGGGGGGCGUAGCAUGAUGCCCAUCUAUCUUUCUGACAUCUCCUAACCCAAUCCCACUGGGGCUAACUGAAUUCAAUCCUCAACAUUAGAUAAGCACAUACCCCCUCCCCUCUACACAUAUGUGUGUGUGUGGGGGGGUGUGUGUGUCUGUGUGUAUAUGUGUUUGAACUUAUCACACACCCAUGGCAGCAGGUUUAGAUUGUUUCUACAGUCAAGUGUUAGUGUGCAGGUCACAUAGCGAGAGGGGGAAUGAGGCAGAAAUCAGGCGGGGAAUAAAAAAAAGCCGACAAGCCCGGCAGACAAAGAGAGACCCUGGACGGAGGCAGAGGGAGAAGGAGACGUUGGACAUUGCCUCUCCGUUGGGAGUCCAUCCUCUGUUUUCACCCCUCGCCCCUUUCUCCCCACUCUACCACCCUCACAUUUUCUGCCCCCUGCCUCGCAGCCGCCCUCCCCACCGCUCCGAUUCUCCCCUCUCGGCAGCUAUCUGCUUAUUGUCUUGGCUUCUUGGUGCCUAUCAGGCCCAUCGCUUCACGUUUCCAUCAAACGCAGCAUUUAUCUUAUCAUUGCUUUGACAACUGCCUAUUAGUCCCAAAGAGUCCAGGGGCUCUGUGUUCCCAUGGCGAUGACAUGGCGACAUUGCCGGGCUGCUCUGAACCUCCUGCUGAGGAAGUGGACCCUUUCCCUCUACGCCGCUCACCCUGCACAUCCCUCUGCCCCCCGUUUUCUCCUCCUUUGGCAACAGCGCCCGACACCCCACCAACUCUUCAAGGGUGUGUGCAACGUUUGGGGAAUCCAACUCUCUCUCUCUCUCGUGUUGUAUUUGGGGUCGCCAACGAGGCGAGAUUGGAGGCUCAAGAGAUGUUCAACGGACACUUGGUGUCACCUCCCUGCGUUUUUCCGGUCUGGAGGCGGCGAAGUGUCUCGCAUGGAUUUACUUUCUUUCUCUUAUGGAAAAGACAUCAUGCAAAGACGUAAAACAAAGACGAAUCACAUACAAAGACAACUGACUAAUGCAAGCAAGAGAUGUGGACACUGUGGGUCCAAGUUGCCUUAAAGCUGCUGGACCGUGAACCGGAGCUCCCACUGCUGAUGCUUAUCACCUGUGGUAAUAUGUGUAAUUCAAUCCGGAGAGACUUGUUGAACUAUUUCAACCAUGCUUUAUUAUAACAGGCAUAAUAAGAUAUUGCAAGUUGUUUGGGGCUUGGACCAUCCUGCCGCAGGAUAGACCCGGGGCCGGGAUCUCGAGCCGAGACGAGGCAUAUCCCCCCCCUUUGGGAGUCCAGUCACUGGUGGUGGUGGUAGAGCCCAAGUUGCAUAACUCUCCUGAUAUGCCAGGUCCUGCUGUAGAUUGGAGGUGUCCGGGGUGGUGGCGGGUCACCUUUGGAGCGUGCUGAAAUGACAACUGACAGCAAAAGAGAGGAGAACAGUUUUUAACGUUUGCCUGCACCAAUGCGAUUGGUUUACGGUUACGACACCCACGUCUGCUACUACCCGACCCCGCCCCUAAUCAGCUGGCCGUGCACCCCCAGGGAGAGAGAAGGCCACCAGGAAACGGCACAGCCUGUCCAGUCUUCCUGACUGAAUUUUCGCCUAAGCUUCAUACCAAUACCAACCAACAUGAACAGCCGACCUGUGGGUUGUUCACGCAAGAGAUACAUUUGUAUGUUUAGCACGGCCCUCACCCUGCCGACCUUUUUCUAGCCUCUUACGAGCUGCCCGUCUGCCUCUUUUUAAAGAAUAGUGGUGAUUGCAUGGUAACCUGGUAGUUGUUUUGUAAAUAAAUGACGGUGUUGGAACAUGCACUGUGCUGACCAAACUCUGCUGGCACGCUCCUCUUUACUUCUCCUCGUCCCGCUGCCGAUCCGCUGAGAGCGUUCUAAUUCGGCGGUUAACGGGGUCACCAUGCAGAGAGACUGGGACGUCUCGUCUGCUGCUAUCUCUGCACACUCACGUGAUCAAGGAUUCCUUCUAGUCUGUAAUCUGUUAUUUGAAGUUUUCCCUCUAAAAAAAAAAAACAAGCGGUGGAAUGGAGACACUUAGUCACAGUGAUGCACACUCUCGGAGGCAAACACUGUUAUUUUACCUCUUAUCGGCGUGCUAUUUUGUGGUCAGUGACUCAGUGCAUUAGCUGUGAUCUGUGCUCUGCCUCUCUUGCUGGAUCCGCGGGAGAGAGGAAGGGGUCUCUGAGGGCAGCUCGAAGGGGCCCAGCUCUAAUAAUAGAGUGUAAAUCUCAGUCAUUACUGCCCUGACAAGACAAUGUGUCAUCAUUGUCUGGCGCAGAACUCCUCUCCAGUGGAGAGGCUUCAAGUUAACUACUGUUUUUAUUGUGGGCAGCAAAGAAUCCCUUGUAGUUUGGUAAAUGACAGAGUGUGAGGGGAGUUAUGAGCGCAGCACAGACACCACAGGACGUUAGAUUCAAGCUGCUGCAACAGAUAUUAGGAUUUUACAGUGAACUCACGCUUGCUGGCCAUCGAUCCAGACACCUACAUCGAGAACAAAAAGCGUUUGCAAGGUUGAGAGAUUUCCUUGAUACAAAUGUCAGUCGGAGCAAUCCCAGCAAAUUUUAAAACUACUCCACCAGCUUUUUAUAUGAGCACUUUCCGUUGCCGAAGCGGAACACCGAGGGGACUGACGUUCCAUAUCCUGUUUAGCAGGAAAUCAUCAUUGCUCUCAAUAACGGCGGGCCAUAAAAUCACAUUGCAGCGUCCAUCGAUUUUCAUUUCAUAGUAAAUGGCAGGUAACAAACCGCUGGGCCGCCAAGUGAUGCAGCGUAAAUGCGCCUCUGAUAAACAGUUAAAAGAAGUUCAUUCACUCUGCUGAACUGCGGCAGAAAAAUCAACACUAAUCAGAUGAGAGGCAGCAAAACAAAUUCUUCCGUUGCGCUCUCAACACUGAACUCCAGGGAGAGGAGAGGAGAGCAGAGACUUGUUAGGAAGACUGCAACCGGAUUAAAAAGACAAAGGACAGAAGCUAAAGAUAAAGUGGAAAGGCAGCGUGUAUGAAAGCAUUGGAAAUACGUGAGGGAAAUGAAAGGAGGGUAAAGGAAGAUGCUCGGAUACAACAUUGGAUGAAGGGUAUUCAGGAGGAGGAACGGAAAAAAAAAGAAAAAAUUUGGUCUUGAACAAUAAAAUGAAUCCGUAACAUUUGCUUAUUUAGUAGUUUUUGUCCUUUAUCCCGAAUGGUUGUGUUGUUUGAAUGAUCAAUGCAGUAGGUAUCCACGUGUUUACCUCGUAGCCACAACCUACAUAGCCUUUGAAUGACCAUUUUUCAAACAUACUAUUUAUUUCUACAUUCAGCGAGCACCUUCUGGAAACUUGAAUCAAGUAGGCUUGAUCCUUCACAAUGAACAGUUAACUUUGAUUCAUUUUGAAAUGCCAGUAUUAUGUAUACAUUCACCGUGAUAGAUUACUUACUUUAAGUACAUUCUAAGUCUAUGAAAGUUGAUAUUCUCCGCUGGCACAAAGUCAAACAAACGGCCCGCCAAAAAAAGUCGGAUAUCCAGCCAGAGCUCCGGGGAUGCUUUGGAAAUUGGAUGGCAAGUAAGUGCUACUGCAAUGGUUUGUAGACUACAGCAGGUAAGAGUUUGAAAAAAUAAAUAUUUAACCCCCCCUUAUAUAUCUCCCUUUUCCAGUUUGUUUUCUUGUUGUCUCGUGUCUCUUGGCUUUGUGCUCUUUCCGAAGGAAAAUGCCAGAUCAACAGAAACGUCACAUCCAGGAUAAGGGGGCUUACUUUGGUAUCUUCUAAUUGAAGUGCCUUGCUACCUUAGUGUCUGACAGCUCCUUUUGACAAGUGAUGUGUUUUUUGAAAGUCUAUCAGCUUUCUUUGGCUCUGAGUGCAAUAGACAGCAGAGAUCAGUGUGGGUCAAGCUGAAUGCUGGUCUCUAUACGGACCUGCUGCUGCCUCCUGCCAUCAUGAAGCUUGUCAUUCAUUUCAUCGUUAAUCCUGGCUUCCUCUUUCAGCGGAUACGUUCUCUUCAGCGUGCUUUUCCUCCUUCAAGUACCAAACGAGCCGACCUCACAUGGAGUUCACCUGCCUGUGUUGUUUAGCCAAUGUUUGAGGCUGUAUUAAACGCUGUCGUUAUGUGAUCAAUGGGUCACACGACUCACUGUAACCGCUACGCGAAGCUGGAUGGAUGCUGCAGCAUCUUCCAGCUCAUUGGUUUGGUUUUUUAUUGCAUGUUUGGAUUCAUCUCUCACUGUCUCAUGUACUGUUUUUAGUUAAAACUAUUUUACCACAACGUAAACCUAUUUUGUCGCUCACUGUCUGUAUAUUUAGCCCUUGUGUUAUAUAUAAUUAUGGUUCACAGAAACAUUUGAUCUUAACAUUUGUAACAUUUGGGGGUUUUUGCACUGGAUUUUAGUCUGUUUUUUGGUGUUUGACUAUGCUUGUGUGUAGCUAGUAAUUAUUUUAAGUCAUCAUUAGGGCACUGUUCUGUUUUUAGGUUAACAUGGCGUGUAAGCUACAUAUCAACUGAUUACAAAGUGAUUGAAAGAGAGCCCCAAUAAACAUAUUGAAUGCUACCUGCCCAGCUAUGGAACAUAAUGUAGCAUUGAGGAGCCCAGUGGCCGUGUUUUUAGUUGUUGGAGACCAAAACCAAAGGGAACAAAUUAUGUAUAAUGUAUAAUGUAAUGUAUAAAGUGUCUUCUCGAUGGGUUUUGUUUGCCACAAAAACUUUAUAUGGUAACAUCUUAUUUUUCGUUUGCUAUUGUAAGUGACCUUAAAAGAAAUGAUCAGCUGCCUUAUAAAAUAAAUGAUGUUUUUCUCUUGUUGUUGUGCAAAUGAUAACCCCGACCAGAGAGUAGAUGGUUAUGGUGGCAUAACAUCUGUACAGAUGGUCUGCGGAUGAAAUACUGGCUAAAUAAUGCAUGCAACAUCAACAUCAGAGGAAGCAAUUUGCAUCCUGCCUCUUUCCAACUGUAAGCUGGGUUUUCAUUUACCAUAACCACCGUGUUCCCCAACCCAAAGCAAGUCAUUUUAACUACUACAACACAAGCAAACCUUCUAUCACAUAUCAUCCACAUAAAUACUUGAACUGAUCACUUUUGGCACAGUUAUAAAAACACGAACUGACAAAAUAAUCAUUCAGUCAUUUAGCUAUGGAGACUAUAAGGAUUCAGUUCUGACUCUUCCUUCCCUUUACAUAAAAAUGUUUUGCGAUACUGCAUGACUUUUUCAGAUGUACCACAUCAUGCCUGGAUCCUGGAAUGUUUAGAUUCAAGAACACGAUGUCUCAUUUGGUCCAUUGGGCUCCUUGUGGUGCAGUACAAAGCUCAUCCACGCUGCAGCUUCUGUAUAAUCCCAUCUUUGCCUAGACUAUUCUGCAUUGCCCCAUCAACAGCACGACAGCGGACCUUCACUUAUAUCCUUGACCAGCGCACACAGCCCGUGCUCAUCAUUGGAAGACAGCCACGUCCACAUGGAAUGGAAACAUAGUUGGAUACAAGUCUGAAAAAUGUCAUAAAUUUUACUCCCUCUCUCUGCCUGUCCUUGGCGUCUUCCCACCUUCCCACUCCAGCUCUCUGUGUGAUAUUAUGAAGAACAGAUUUUCCAGAGAGGAAAUGAAAGGAUUUGCUAUAGCAGAGAAGAACGAAGGAGAGUAAGAGAAAGAGAUCAGAGGCCCAAUGUUGAGGCUCGGUCUCCCGGCACCGAGGAACGAGCCACCCAGCAGCCUUCACAGGGCCGCUUAAAUCCACAUGCAGGUCGCAUUACCGCUCUCCUUCAUCCAUGUUUACUGGCAUGUUAAAGAUUGUAAUAACAUCGGUCAGGACAGAGAUUUUUAAUUUGGAUGUGUUUCUCUUUUUUUUUGAAGGGUUUGUUAGCCAGCUGUGGCGAGGAGAGAAACAGUCAGAAAGAGACAGAUGCUGGCACCGCGGAGCGACCACAUUUGGACCGAGAUGAGUGCGAGGCCUGCAAGGUCAUGCUCUAUAAACACUCUCAAAAUCAGGAUGCUAGACUUUUGUUAUACAUGCUAUGUUCAGUCAACAAUUUGUGCACGUCUUCAUGUUUUCAGUGGUCAUUUGAGGUAAAAUAAUAAACGCGGUUGGAGUUGUGACAGUGAACAUUCAAACAACGGCUAGAAAACGGCAACCCACAAACAGGCCAGUCGGAUAUCUCUUCCAUUUC